RNAcentral lists this ribosomal RNA (468 nucleotides) under uncultured bacterium. RNAcentral describes it as "partial 16S ribosomal RNA". It matches the Rfam family "Bacterial small subunit ribosomal RNA", at positions 28 to 507 of the family's 1533-position model. The record is from RNAcentral.
GACGAACGCUGGCGGCGUGCUUAACACAUGCAAGUCGAACGGAAAGGCCCUGCUUUUGUGGGGUGCUCGAGUGGCGAACGGGUGAGUAACACGUGAGUAACCUGCCCUUGACUUUGGGAUAACUUCAGGAAACUGGGGCUAAUACCGGAUAGCAGCUCCUGCUGCAUGGUAGGGGUUGGAAAGUCUCGGCGGUUGGGGAUGGACUCGCGGCUUAUCAGCUUGUUGGUGGGGUAGUGGCUUACCAAGGGUUUGACGGGUAGCCGGCCUGAGAGGGUGGACGGGGACAUUGGGACUGAGAUACGGACCAGACUCCUACGUGGGGCAGCGGGGGGGAAUAUUGCACAAUGGGCGGGAGCCUGAUGAAGCAGCGCCGCGUGUGGAAUGACGGCCUUCGGGUUGUAAACCGCUUUCGCCUGAGACGAAGCGGGAGUGACGGUAAUGGGUAAAGAAGCACCGGCUAACUACGUG